GAGCGGCGAACGGGUGAGUAACACGUGAGUAACCUGCCCUAGGCUUUGGGAUAACCCUCGGAAACGGGGGCUAAUACCGGAUAUGACUUCCUGCCGCAUGGUGGGGGGUGGAAAGUUUUUUCGGCUUGGGAUGGACUCGCGGCCUAUCAGCUUGUUGGUGGGGUAAUGGCCUACCAAGGCGACGACGGGUAGCCGGCCUGAGAGGGCGACCGGCCACACUGGGACUGAGACACGGCCCAGACUCCUACGGGAGGCAGCAGUGGGGAAUAUUGCACAAUGGGCGGAAGCCUGAUGCAGCGACGCCGCGUGAGGGAUGACGGCCUUCGGGUUGUAAACCUCUUUCAGCAGGGACGAAGCGUGAGUGACGGUACCUGCAGAAGAAGCACCGGCCAACUACGUGCCAGCAGCCGCGGUAAGACGUAGGGUGCGAGCGUUGUCCGGAUUUAUUGGGCGUAAAGAGCUCGUAGGCGGCUUGUCGCGUCGACUGUGAAAUCCCGCGGCUCAACUGCGGGCUUGCAGCCGAUACGGGCAGGCCUAGAGUUCGGUAGGGGAGACUGGAAUUCCU
Molecule: ribosomal RNA, 565 nt
Filed under: Pilimelia sp. 384A11
Lineage: Bacteria; Bacillati; Actinomycetota; Actinomycetes; Micromonosporales; Micromonosporaceae
Description: bacterial SSU rRNA
Rfam family: Bacterial small subunit ribosomal RNA
Source: RNAcentral